GACGAACGCUGGCGGCGUGCCUAAUACAUGCAAGUAGAACGCUGAAGGAGGAGCUUGCUCUUCUGGAUGAGUUGCGAACGGGUGAGUAACGCGUAGGUAACCUGCCUGGUAGCGGGGGAUAACUAUUGGAAACGAUAGCUAAUACCGCAUAACAGUAGAUGUUGCAUGACAUUUGCUUAAAAGGUGCAAUUGCACCACUACCAGAUGGACCUGCGUUGUAUUAGCUAGUUGGUGGGGUAACGGCUCACCAAGGCGACGAUACAUAGCCGACCUGAGAGGGGGAUCGGCCACACUGGGACUGAGACACGGCCCAGACUCCUACGGGAGGCAGCAGUAGGGAAUCUUCGGCAAUGGACGGAAGUCUGACCGAGCAACGCCGCGUGAGUGAAGAAGGUUUUCGGAUCGUAAAGCUCUGUUGUAAGGGAAGAACGAGUGUGAGAGUGGAAAGUUCACACUGUGACGGUAUCUGACCAGAAAGGGACGGCUAACUACGUG
This 495-nucleotide ribosomal RNA is filed under the name uncultured bacterium. Its description in RNAcentral is "partial 16S ribosomal RNA". It matches the Rfam family "Bacterial small subunit ribosomal RNA", at positions 28 to 507 of the family's 1533-position model. The record is from RNAcentral.